AAUAGAUACCCAGGUAGUCCACGCCGUAAACGGUGGGCACUAGGUGUGGGCGACAUUCCACGUCGUCCGUGCCGCAGCUAACGCAUUAAGUGCCCCGCCUGGGGAGUACGGCCGCAAGGCUAAAACUCAAAGGAAUUGACGGGGGCCCGCACAAGCGGCGGAGCAUGUGGCUUAAUUCGACGCAACGCGAAGAACCUUACCAAGGCUUGACAUACACCGGAAACGUCCAGAGAUGGGCGCCCCCUUGUGGUCGGUGUACAGGUGGUGCAUGGCUGUCGUCAGCUCGUGUCGUGAAAUGUUGGGUUAAGUCCCGCAACGAGCGCAACCCUUGUCCCGUGUUGCCAGCAGGCCCUUGUGGUGCUGGGGACUCACGGGAGACCGCCGGGGUCAACUCGGAGGAAGGUGGGACGACGUCAAGUCAUCAUGCCCCUUAUGUCUUGGGCUGCACACGUGCUACAAUGGCCGGUACAAUGAGCUGCGAUACCGCGAGGUGGAGCGAAUCUCAAAAAGCCGGUCUCAGUUCGGAUUGGGGU
RNAcentral lists this ribosomal RNA (533 nucleotides) under uncultured bacterium. Its description in RNAcentral is "bacterial SSU rRNA". It matches the Rfam family "Bacterial small subunit ribosomal RNA", at positions 777 to 1304 of the family's 1533-position model. The record is from RNAcentral.